Molecule: long non-coding RNA, 3313 nt
Organism: Rattus norvegicus (Norway rat)
Lineage: Eukaryota; Metazoa; Chordata; Mammalia; Rodentia; Muridae
Source: RefSeq, a predicted model, not a curated record
UCCACUUCCUGCGGGAUGGGGGCUGGGACUUGCCUUCACUGCUGUCAAGCGGCGUUGGGGUGGGGAGUGGGGCAAGGCUAUAAAUCAGUGACUUAGAGCUGAGUGAGUCGGUUCCCCAAGCAGCCCCGGCAUGCGUGUGAUGGUGCCUGUGGCUCGGCUGUGAGCAAAGUGAGGCCGGGUCUUCUCUCCAGGUCACCUUUAGCCCGGAGGUGCAGCCGCAGCUUUGCAUUUGGAUUUGGGGGAAGCAUGGCUAAAGACCUAGUUUCAGGAUAGGUGCAUCUAGAAGUGUAGACCAUCCAGAUUCAGUCCAGGCAGAGGGAUUCUGCCCAGGGUUGGCCCAGGAAUCCUGGGACCUAUGUCCCUAUUUUCAAUAUCCUCUCAAAGCUUCUGGAAGCAGGAGGGUAAAAGUUUUGGUCACUGAAGAAACUACUCUAGAAAAGUCUCUAGUGUGUCCCCUUCCCCAACCAGAGUUGUCCUUCUGACUCCUGGUGUGAUUACGUGGGGUUCCUGUCUGAAUUUCUUCCUUGUGGGUGAGUUCUUUGGGGGUGGGGUGAUGGGCACUCAAACUUUGACCUAGUUUCCCUUUCACCCAUCCAUCUGCCUGCUGUUGUCUGACUGUUCCUGUGUCCCAGGUACCACCCAGGAGAGGGACCACAGAUGAGGAGGUAGAUACACGUGUCCCUUUUCCUCCUGUAGCUACCCUCUGAGAAUGCCCUCCAAAGAAGCAAGCCACCAGACGCCCAGCAAUUCACAAUCGCCUGUGGCCUGAUGGAGAAAGGCAGAAGCUGUGAGAGAUAGGUGGAGACCCUUGUGUUUGAUGCUGUCAAAGAGGCCUUGCCAAGGAAGGGACCUGAAUGGAGACCUGGAGAAUAAAGGGAACCCUAGAAGUCACACAGAGGAAGAAGAGGGCUCAGUCUGUGCAGAGCACUGAUCUGGAGUAGCAAGCUAGGGGCUGCCUCAGAGAUCUCUGUCACCUCCUCUCUGCUUCAGACGGUCUAGUAGCAGUACAGAGAAGUUCUGAAUCUGUGCAAGGUGACACACUGGAUAGGACUGCAACUGUACCUUAGUGUCCUGCCCUCUGCCUUAGAUGUCUGACUCCUAUCAAUAUUUUAUUCCAAUGUAAUAAUGAUGAUAAUCAGGUGACAUAGAAAGACUGCUAGUUUCCCCUUAAUAAAGGAAUUGGUUCCAAGCUCUCUGCCUCAGAGAAGUACAGGUAUAGAUUACAUAUCUAAUUUCUAGAAGUUAGGUGUGUCCAUAGUCUAUCAAUAUAAUAUCACCAAAGGCUAUGAAAAUUAUAGACAUAUGUCUUGAAGGAGAAGAAAAUGAGGGGCACUAGUAAGAGGUGUGGCCCUGUUGGAGGAAAUGUGUCACUGUGGCUUUGAGAUCUUCAGGGUAUGACAGUCCACUGCUGUCCCCUUCAGGGAAGAUGUACAACUGUUGACUCCCCCAGCACCUUGUCUGGCUCGGUGCCAUGCUUCCCACCAUGGUGAUGGUGAUAGUGGACUGACCCUCAGAAAGUGUAAUCCAGCCCCCAUGAAAUGAUUUCCUUUCUAAGACUUGGAAUGUAGACUCAGCAGCUGGAGAUCUGGGUGCUGCCUUGAACGCUUAAGCAAGGGAACUGGAAUAUAGCACCAACCACUCGGUUUCUGGUUCUUCCCCCAUCGUAUGCUAUGCUUAGUGGCAUAGAUUGAACAAGAGACACUGUAAAAUAAUUUGCCUCACAAAAGCUUGUUGACGGUUGAAGCAACAAGCACAGGGUCACUAUUCUACCAUUUACACUUGAUUUUGGUCCUCUAAGGCUUGCCAGAAGAGAAGGAUCGUGAGUUACAACCCCUGCAGAUGCUAGAAACAGGAGAGACUCCUGACUGCUGGCAACCAGUGAAGGUCACAUACAUCUCUCUAGCUGGGUCUCUCUCUUCUCCAGCGAGCUACACAGAUUUGCUGUCUUCUCCCUGCUCCCUCCAGCUUUUCUCCCUCUGUGCUGUGGUGGGAUUGCAUUCCUUUCUGGAUCAGAGUAGAGCUUUUGCUUUUACCGUGAGCCUGCCAUCACCUCAUUCCUGGAUGUGGUCACUGAAAGGCUCACUUGAGGAGCAGCGUUUCAAGGGGAAAGCAAAUAUCCCAAUACGUUAUAUAAUUAGCCCCAACUCUGGACCCCUGCAGUUGGUUCCAAAGACCUGAUAAGUUGGUUCUGAUAAUGCCUGCAGGUCAGCCUAUCACUGAGUGUGUACACAUUUAAUACCUGUCUGUCGAUUGGAACCUGUAUCAGUCAGGACAGGCUAGAUUAUGGCAUGGAACAGAAAAGUCCCAUUCUCAGUGGCUUCUACUAUAAAGAUUUACUGCUCAAUCAUGCUCUAUGGCCAUCCUGAAUCAAUCCCCAUGGGCCUUUCUUCAGAGACGUUUAGAAGUGUGGCUCAAAGAGCAGCCAGCACUUUAAAUGUAGUCACUAACCCAGGCAGGGGACAGGAGGAUCCCAAUGACAAAUCAGUACUCUUGUGAUUGGGAAGUCUCUGUACUCCUUCGUUCUGGCGUCCAUCCACACAGAGAGACACAUACAUGGCCCCAUUCCACCACAAACGACCUUCAGGGAAUUGUGUGAGCGCGCGCAUGCGUGCGUCUGUCUGUCUGUCGCCUAGAAGAGAGGCCGAGACAAACUACAAGAUUGAAGAGCCUGGAAGCUGGUGUCGCCAGUGCCAGCGCACACUACGCAGCAGGUCUUAAUUUACCUCAUCCAGAAAGUGAGCGUGAAGCCCUCCAGGUGAUUACAGCGAGAUGCUUGGCUGUCUGUAUGCCUCAGUUUCCCCAUCUGGAAAGCUCUCCAUAGGUGUGAGCACUUGACAAGAUAAUAUCAGAGGCAUUUAGUAUGCAAAUGUGGCCACCCAUAUUCCUGCAUUUGACUGAGGACCAAGAAGGACCAGAGGCACCAAGAAGCAACAAGUAUCAAGUCGCUCGGAAAGCAGCCUUUUCCCCUGUGAUGGUUUGAAUAUGCUUGGCCCGGGGAGUGGCACUAUUAGGACCUGUGGUCUUGUUGGAGUGGGUGUGACCUUGUUGGAGGAAGUGUGUCCCUGUGUGGGUGGGCAAUGAGAUGUUCCUCCUAACAGUGUGGGAACAGUCUUCUGCUGUUUGCCUGUGGAACAAGAUAUUGAACUCUCAGCUUCUCCUGCACCAAACCUGCCCGGAAGCUGCCAUGUUCCUGCUUCGAUGAUAAUGGACUGAACCUGAACCUGUAAGCCAGCUUCAAUUGAAUGUUGUCCUUAUAAGAGUUGCCUUGGUCAUGGUGUCUGUUCACCACAAUAAAACCCUAACUAAAACAGUC